Molecule: transfer-messenger RNA, 359 nt
Filed under: Aquibium carbonis
Lineage: Bacteria; Pseudomonadati; Pseudomonadota; Alphaproteobacteria; Hyphomicrobiales; Phyllobacteriaceae
Description: Alphaproteobacteria transfer-messenger RNA
Rfam family: Alphaproteobacteria transfer-messenger RNA
About the family: Bacterial tmRNA, also known as 10Sa RNA or SsrA, is named for its dual tRNA and mRNA-like properties.
Source: Rfam by way of RNAcentral
GGCCUUCCAAUUGGCGCCGCUCCUCCCUAUAUUCCGUUCGUCAGCUUGCUGACUAUGGCGAUAAACGGACGAUGGAAUAAGCCUUUCGGACCCGGGGGCGGUACCCGGCGCCUCCACCACAAGCCGCUGGCAUUGGCGAGCGGCUUCUGAUGGGGGCGAAAUAGGAUCGACGAGGGUGUAAAGAUCGAACUUUCGCUCGGCAUGAUACCGCCGUUAUCGGGUCAAACCUAUAGUUGCCAACGACAACUAUGCUGAGGCACGUCUCGCUGCUUAAUGCGGCGCGAUAGUCUCGAAUCAAGCCCUGUGGGUUAGCACCUUCAGGCGGGGUUCGGAGGUACCUGGCAACAGAAACCUCCACU